AUUGGUAAUGUUUUCUACUCUAGCUCAGUCAAUAUAGUACACUGGAUAUGUAGGAUGGCUUGUUUCGAAGCUAAGACAUUUUCACAUAUAUGUGGUUAAAUUUUCGGAAUACGAAGUGCGAUUUUUUUUCACACAACAAUUUCUUUGAAAAUUUAAUACUUUGAAUACAUUAAAAAACUCCAUAGUUUUUACAUAUUUAUACUAUGAUCCUC
RNAcentral lists this long non-coding RNA (212 nucleotides) under Mytilus galloprovincialis (Mediterranean mussel). The record is from RNAcentral. Lineage: Eukaryota; Metazoa; Mollusca; Bivalvia; Mytilida; Mytilidae.